Molecule: transfer RNA, 144 nt
Filed under: Candidatus Brocadiales bacterium
Lineage: Bacteria; Pseudomonadati; Planctomycetota; Candidatus Brocadiia; Candidatus Brocadiales
Description: tRNA-OTHER
Rfam family: tRNA
About the family: Transfer RNA (tRNA) molecules are approximately 80 nucleotides in length.
Source: RNAcentral
GGGCCUGUAGCUCAGCGGUAGAGCACUGCCCUUGCACUGAGACUUUUAAAAAAAGUUUCAUCAAAUCAGGAAAGGCAGGGGCCUCGGGUUCGAAAAUGGUAAAGGCAUAGCAACCUUUAUGAUCGAAGAGUCCCGACAGGUCCA